CAGUGUAAUUAUACAUUUAAGUACUGAGUAAUAUUAAUUAACUACAUGUACUUACUAUAUGGUUAGAGUUAGGAUUAGGUUUUGGCUUAGGUUUACUUGCAUGCCAUUAUGCAUAAUUUAUUGUUAUUGUAAUAGUAUGUAGGCAGCCAUGUCACCCU
Molecule: long non-coding RNA, 158 nt
Organism: Sinocyclocheilus rhinocerous
Lineage: Eukaryota; Metazoa; Chordata; Actinopteri; Cypriniformes; Cyprinidae
Exons: 3
Source: RefSeq, a predicted model, not a curated record